RNAcentral lists this ribosomal RNA (480 nucleotides) under uncultured bacterium. RNAcentral describes it as "partial 16S ribosomal RNA". It matches the Rfam family "Bacterial small subunit ribosomal RNA", at positions 28 to 507 of the family's 1533-position model. The record is from RNAcentral.
GACGAACGCUGGCGGCGUGCUUAACACAUGCAAGUCGAACGAUGAAAGAGAAUCCGAUCUCGUCGGAGUGAAGAAUCUCGGGAUUAGUGGCGGACGGGUGAGUAACCCGUGAUCAAUCUGCCUUACACAAAGGUAUAGCCUCUGGAAACCGGGAUUAAUACCAUAUUAUAUCUAUUAACCGCAUUGUCUAGAGAUUAAAGAAUUUCGGUGUAAGAUGAGCUCUCGUCCCAUUAAUUGGUUGGUGAGGGUAACGGCCGACCAAGAUAGGGAUGGGUAGCCGAUCUAAGAGGAUGCCCGGCCACAUUGGAACUGAGACACGGUCCCAACUCCUACGGGAGGGAGCAGUGGGGAAUAUUGCACAAUGGGGGAAAACCUGAUGAAGCGACGCCGCGUGAGCGAUGAAGGCUUUCGAGUAGUAAAGCUCUGUCCUAUGGGAAGAUAAUGACGGUACCAUAGAAGAAAGCCCCGGCUAAUUACGUG